This 496-nucleotide ribosomal RNA is filed under the name uncultured bacterium. RNAcentral's name for it is "partial 16S ribosomal RNA". It matches the Rfam family "Bacterial small subunit ribosomal RNA", at positions 29 to 507 of the family's 1533-position model. The record is from RNAcentral.
AUGAACGCUGGCGGCGUGCCUAAUCCCUGCCAGUCGAGCGAACGGACGAGAAGCUUGCUUCUCUGAUGUUAGCGGCGGACGGGCGAGUAACCCGUGGAUAACCUACCUAUAAGACUGGGAUAACUUCGGGAAACCGGAGCUAAUCCCGGAUAAUAUUUUGAACCGCAUGGUUCAAAAGUGAAAGACGGUCUUGCUGUCACUUAUAGAUGGAUCCGCGCUGCAUUAGCUAGUUGGUAAGGUAACGGCUUACCAAGGCAACGAUGCAUAGCCGACCUGAGAGGGUGAUCGGCCACACUGGAACUGAGACACGGUCCAGACUCCUACGGGAGGCAGCAGUAUGGAAUCUUCCGCAAUGGGCGAAAGCCUGACGGAGCAACGCCGCGUGAGUGAUGAAGGUCUUCGGAUCGUAAAACUCUGUUAUUAGGGAAGAACAUAUGUGUAAGUAACUGUGCACAUCUUGACGGUACCUAAUCAGAAAGCCACGGCUAACUACGUG